AAAAAGUUUUUUCGGCUUGGGUCUUUUAUAAUAUUAUAAUUUACAUGUAAACUUUUGUGGGAAAAAGAGUAAAUUUUAAAUAAAUUUAUUUAUAGUUAAAUUUGCAGUAAAAAGUUUUGUAUAUUUAAGAAAUUGAGAUACAUCUAAAAUAUCUAGUAUUAACUAAGUUUGUGCCAGCAGUUGCGGUUAGACAGAUGAUGCAAUAAAAAAUAUUUGGCUUUAAUUAAUAAACAUGAGGAAGAAUUUAAUUUAGAUUUUAUUAAGUGAAAUUUUAAGAUUUGUAUAAAUUUUUAUUGAGUUUAUGAAGUUACAAAAUUUAAAUAAGAAACUAGGAUUAGAUACCCUAUUAUUUUAAAUAGAAAAUUUAAAGCCUUAUUAGUAAUAGUUAUGAUCUUGAAAAUAAAGAGAGUUGGCGGUAUUUUAGUCUAUUCAGAGGAACCUGCCCUAUAAUCGAUGGUCCACGUUUUAUUAAACUUAUUUUCUAAGUCUGUAUAUCGCCGUAGGUUGAAUAUUUUUUAAAAAAUGAAAUGUUCAAUAAUUCUUUUAAGAAAAGAAUUCAGGUCAAGGUGUAGCUUAUAAAUAAGAAGAGAUGGGUUACAAUAAAAUUAUUUAUAACGAAUUAGUAGAUGAAUAUUUACUAUGAAGGAGGAUUUGAAGGUAAUUUUAUUUAAAUUUAUAAAAUGAUUCUAGUUCUAAAAUAUGUACAUAUCGCCCGUCGCUUUCAUUUCAAGGUGGAAUAAGUCGUAACAUAGUAGAUGUACUGGAAAGUGUAUCUGGGUUAAUCUU
Molecule: non-coding RNA, 786 nt
Filed under: Sympiezomias velatus
Lineage: Eukaryota; Metazoa; Arthropoda; Insecta; Coleoptera; Curculionidae
Source: RNAcentral